UACAGAGGGUGCGAGCGUUGUUCGGAAUUAUUGGGCGUAAAGGGCGCGUAGGCGGUGCGGUAAGUCACCUGUGAAAUCUCCUGGCUCAACUGGGAGCUUGCAGGCGAAACUGCCGUGCUGGAGUGUGGGAGAGGUGCGUGGAAUUCCCGGUGUAGCGGUGAAAUGCGUAGAUAUUAGGAAGAACACCAGUGGCGAAGGCGGCUCACUGGCCCGGUACUGACGCUGAGGCGCGAAAGCGUGGGGAGCAAACAGG
RNAcentral lists this ribosomal RNA (253 nucleotides) under uncultured bacterium. RNAcentral's name for it is "partial 16S ribosomal RNA". It matches the Rfam family "Bacterial small subunit ribosomal RNA", at positions 524 to 776 of the family's 1533-position model. The record is from RNAcentral.